RNAcentral lists this transfer RNA (64 nucleotides) under Theopompa sp. FY-2016a. RNAcentral describes it as "tRNA-Pro". It matches the Rfam family "tRNA". From Rfam's summary of the family: Transfer RNA (tRNA) molecules are approximately 80 nucleotides in length. Their secondary structure includes four short double-helical elements and three loops (D, anti-codon, and T loops). Lineage: Eukaryota; Metazoa; Arthropoda; Insecta; Mantodea; Gonypetidae. The record is from RNAcentral.
CAAGGGAUAGUUUAGAUUAAAAUAUUAAUUUUGGGAAUUAAUGAUAAGAAUUUCUUUCCUUUGA